Acanthosepion pharaonis is the source of this 98-nucleotide non-coding RNA. The record is from the annotation of a GenBank genome assembly. NCBI's taxonomy places the organism in Eukaryota, Metazoa, Mollusca, Cephalopoda, Sepiida, Sepiidae.
UCGUUGAAACACCCUUCCCGUACGAUUGCCGAAGUUAAGCAAUGUCGAGCCUGGUCAGUACCUAGAUGGGUGACCACUUGGGAAUAUCAGGUACUGUA